GCGAUACAGGGUGACAGCCCCGUACACAAAAAUGCACAUGCUGUGAGCUCGAUGAGUAGGGCGGGACACGUGGUAUCCUGUCUGAAUAUGGGGGGACCAUCCUCCAAGGCUAAAUACUCCUGACUGACCGAUAGUGAACCAGUACCGUGAGGGAAAGGCGAAAAGAACCCCGGCGAGGGGAGUGAAAAAGAACCUGAAACCGUGUACGUACAAGCAGUGGGAGCACAGAGCAAUCUGUGUGACUGCGUACCUUUUGUAUAAUGGGUCAGCGACUUAUAUUCUGUAGCAAGGUUAACCGAAUAGGGGAGCCGAAGGGAAACCGAGUCUUAACUGGGCGUUAAGUUGCAGGGUAUAGACCCGAAACCCGGUGAUCUAGCCAUGGGCAGGUUGAAGGUUGGGUAACACUAACUGGAGGACCGAACCGACUAAUGUUGAAAAAUUAGCGGAUGACUUGUGGCUGGGGGUGAAAGGCCAAUCAAACCGGGAGAUAGCUGGUUCUCCCCGAAAGCUAUUUAGGUAGCGCCUCGUGAAUUCAUCUCCGGGGGUAGAGCACUGUUUCGGCAAGGGGGUCAUCCCGACUUACCAACCCGAUGCAAACUGCGAAUACCGGAGAAUGUUAUCACGGGAGACACACGGCGGGUGCUAACGUCCGUCGUGAAGAGGGAAACAACCCAGACCGCCAGCUAAGGUCCCAAAGUCAUGGUUAAGUGGGAAACGAUGUGGGAAGGCCCAGACAGCCAGGAUGUUGGCUUAGAAGCAGCCAUCAUUUAAAGAAAGCGUAAUAGCUCACUGGUCGAGUCGGCCUGCGCGGAAGAUGUAACGGGGCUAAACCAUGCACCGAAGCUGCGGCAGCGACACUAUGUGUUGUUGGGUAGGGGAGCGUUCUGUAAGCCUGUGAAGGUGUACUGUGAGGUAUGCUGGAGGUAUCAGAAGUGCGAAUGCUGACAUAAGUAACGAUAAAGCGGGUGAAAAGCCCGCUCGCCGGAAGACCAAGGGUUCCUGUCCAACGUUAAUCGGGGCAGGGUGAGUCGACCCCUAAGG
RNAcentral lists this ribosomal RNA (1041 nucleotides) under Escherichia coli. RNAcentral's name for it is "partial 23S ribosomal RNA". It matches the Rfam family "Bacterial large subunit ribosomal RNA", at positions 354 to 1396 of the family's 2925-position model. Lineage: Bacteria; Pseudomonadati; Pseudomonadota; Gammaproteobacteria; Enterobacterales; Enterobacteriaceae. The record is from RNAcentral.